UGGCGGACGGGUGAGUAACGCGUGGGUAACCUGCCUCACACUGGGGGAUAACAGUUAGAAAUAGCUGCUAAUACCGCAUAAGCGCACGGUUCCGCAUGGAACAGUGUGAAAAACUCCGGUGGUGUGAGAUGGACCCGCGUCUGAUUAGCCAGUUGGCGGGGUAACGGCCCACCAAAGCGACGAUCAGUAGCCGACCUGAGAGGGUGACCGGCCACAUUGGGACUGAGACACGGCCCAA
Molecule: ribosomal RNA, 238 nt
Filed under: uncultured bacterium
Lineage: Bacteria
Description: partial 16S ribosomal RNA
Rfam family: Bacterial small subunit ribosomal RNA
Source: RNAcentral